Molecule: microRNA precursor, 77 nt
Filed under: Myotis davidii
Lineage: Eukaryota; Metazoa; Chordata; Mammalia; Chiroptera; Vespertilionidae
Description: mir-9193 microRNA precursor family
Rfam family: mir-9193 microRNA precursor family
Source: Rfam by way of RNAcentral
CUCGGGGUGGGGGGUGGCGCCCUCAGCCCAGAUUGAGAGAGGGUACAGGCCAGGCCGAGGGACCCCACCAGUGCACA